UACGUAGGGCGCGAGCGUUAAUCGGAAUUACUGGGCGUAAAGCGCGCGUAGGCGGACCUGCAAGUCGGGGGUGAAAGCCCGAGGCUCAACCUCGGAACUGCCUUCGAUACUGCGGGUCUCGAGUCCGGGAGAGGUGAGUGGAAUUCCUAGUGUAGAGGUGAAAUUCGUAGAUAUUAGGAAGAACACCAGUGGCGAAGGCGGCUCACUGGCCCGGUACUGACGCUGAGGCGCGAAAGCGUGGGGAGCAGACAGG
This 253-nucleotide ribosomal RNA is filed under the name uncultured bacterium. RNAcentral describes it as "partial 16S ribosomal RNA". It matches the Rfam family "Bacterial small subunit ribosomal RNA", at positions 524 to 776 of the family's 1533-position model. The record is from RNAcentral.